UUUGAUUAAUUCGACUAUCCGACUUUUCAAAAUUUUGAUUUUACCACUCAACUUAUCAAUCUGUUUGAUAUAUUUAAGUGAUUUGAUGGUUCUUUGAAUAUACAAUUUAAGCUGAUUGCUUACUUUAAUGAAUUUUAUGUUUACAUGGAUUGUAUAAAAUAUACUGACUAAACUCAUAAAGAUAAAUGACAUGUUUAAAUUUCAAAGUUAAAAAGUUAUUAAUUGAUUCAAAUCAAAUAAGUUAAAAGAUAAGGUAGUAAAGUCAAAAUUUUUAAAGAUUAGGCAGUGAUAUUAAAAUAAAUGAUAACUGAGAUAAGUUUUUUUUUUUUUUUUUUUUUUUUUUUUGAGAAAUAGGUAGCAUGCUACCCGCUUCGUUUAUUUCAUUAAGAAAUAAACUUAGCUGGAAAUGUGAAUCAACUAGGAUUCGAACUUGGGACCUCGGGUACCAACCAUCAAGCCCUUUGCCACUUGCUCUAAGGAUGGUCGGUCUAAGAUAAGUUUUAUA
This 505-nucleotide long non-coding RNA is filed under the name Ananas comosus (pineapple). Its description in RNAcentral is "long non-coding RNA (ACOM_LNC036105)". Lineage: Eukaryota; Viridiplantae; Streptophyta; Magnoliopsida; Poales; Bromeliaceae. The record is from RNAcentral.